UACGUAGGUGGCAAGCGUUGUCCGGAUUUACUGGGCGUAAAGAGCGCGCAGGCGGUCGCUCAAGUCGCGUGUGAAAGCCCCCCGGCUCAACUGGGGAGGGUCACGCGAUACUGAUCGACUGGAAGGCAGGAGAGGGUAGUGGAAUUCCCGGUGUAGUGGUGAAAUGCGCAGAUAUCAGGAGGAACACCGGUGGCGAAGGCGGGUCUCUGGGCAAUAACUGACGCUGAGGAGCGAAAGCGUGGGGAGCGAACAGG
Molecule: ribosomal RNA, 254 nt
Filed under: uncultured bacterium
Lineage: Bacteria
Description: partial 16S ribosomal RNA
Rfam family: Bacterial small subunit ribosomal RNA
Source: RNAcentral